GUCUUCGUGGCUCAGUUGGCUAGAGCGUUGGUCUCAUAUUCAUAUGAUCCAAUCCAAGAUUGGGAUAUCCAAAGGUCGUGAGUUCGAGCCUCACCGAGGACA
Molecule: transfer RNA, 102 nt
Filed under: Xylaria curta
Lineage: Eukaryota; Fungi; Ascomycota; Sordariomycetes; Xylariales; Xylariaceae
Also listed under: 2 other names
Description: tRNA-Met
Rfam family: tRNA
About the family: Transfer RNA (tRNA) molecules are approximately 80 nucleotides in length.
Source: RNAcentral